RNAcentral lists this long non-coding RNA (1011 nucleotides) under Canis lupus familiaris (dog). RNAcentral's name for it is "lncRNA (ENSCAFG00845021535.1)". The record is from RNAcentral. Lineage: Eukaryota; Metazoa; Chordata; Mammalia; Carnivora; Canidae.
AUGUGGUCAUUUUCAUCAUUAGAAAGAGAAAAAGAGCAGAGACAGAAAAGGCCCACCGUCCCUAGGGGACCUGGGCUCGGGUGGGGGAGCCGGCCACCAGCCCAGGGCGCCGGGGGGCAGGGCAGAGCCGGCGCUGGGCUCCCUCCCGCAGCGACGGGGAGUGGAGGGGGGUCUGGGCUGGCGGGUGCUGAGCGCUGGGAGGCCAGGCCUGGGCUUGGGCCACUGGCUCCAGGGUCCAGGGGCGGGUGGGGUGAUGGCAGACCUGGGGCGCCCGCACGGCCUGUCUGGUCCUCCACGGUCCCACCCUCCAGGCUGAGGACGAGAAGCGGCGGAGGGGGCUGCCCUGGUGAGGAGGACACACCUGGGCAAACAGGAACCCCCGCCCCAGGGCACAUCCCGGGCUGGGCGCUGCGGGCUGCACCUCCCGGGAGGGCUGGGGGUGGCCUGGGAGUCAGGGCUGCUGACGGGGAGGACAGGAAGGGCGGCGGCGCCCGCGCCAGGAAGCUGAGCUUUCGCUUCCACCUGCUGCGGCCCGGCCUCCGCCUCCCCGCCGCCGAGGGGCACGGCCCGCGGGCCUCCCUGGGGGUCUGGGGGCAUCUGCAGGGUUCUGGUCCUGAGUCUGGCGGCCGGCGGCGGGCAGGGGCCGCCCACCCUGCGCACAGGAGAGUGGCACGGGGGGCUGAGCCAGUCGCGGCCGGAUGCUUGAGGGGAGCGAUGGCUGCAGACCUGUGGUCGGGUGUGGGGGAGCGCGAGGAAGGUGGCGGGGCGGCGGCUGAAUCGGGUGCUGCUCUACCGCAGGCACCUGGCCGCGGCUUCCACCCGCAGGGCCUCCAGUGGCCGCGGAAAACCUCGGGCUGGCCGCCCCAAUCCCUCCUCCCCGGGUUCCGGCCCCCAGAUCAGAGGCAGCGUAGAGACGCCUCCUCCGGGAGGCCCUCCGGUGUCCCUCUGUGUCUCCCUCCGUGUCUCCCUGCUGUCCUGGGAGGAGGCCUCUUGGGCCUGGGAGGACCCUGA